AUAUGACAAUCUAAUACUUUGACAAAUAUUUUGUCUUUGUAAUGAGUCCGCUGUUACUCUUCUUUCUUUUUUCAAAAAAAUAUAUUUGCCUUUACAGUUUGCAGAGUGCAUACUGGAAAACAAGGACCUGAACUUUCCAUCAACAGCAGAAGCUGUUAAUACCGUGCGACUCAACAUUUCUUCCACACUUCUCUCAGAAUCAGAGUCAGUGGAGACUCUACAGACUCUGCAGACACUGUGGCAGUGAGGACACAGAAGAUCAUAUGUGGAUCACAUGUGACAGAUGCAACUGGUGGUACCACCAAGGCUGCGUUAAGGUCCCACAAACCGACACAGACUACUGCUGUGCAAUGUGUUUAUAGAUUUUAUGUUUGUACCAAUCUAAUUCUUUAAUGACUGCAGUUCAGUGGAUUUUCAGUUUAAACAUGUGACAUAAUUUUCGUUGGUUUUCCAAAAAUUUUU
Molecule: long non-coding RNA, 462 nt
Organism: Xiphophorus hellerii (green swordtail)
Lineage: Eukaryota; Metazoa; Chordata; Actinopteri; Cyprinodontiformes; Poeciliidae
Exons: 3
Source: RefSeq, a predicted model, not a curated record